GAUGAACGCUAGCGGCAGGCUUAAUACAUGCAAGUUGAGGGGCAGCAUGAUAUACGCGAGUAUAUUGAUGGCGACCGGCGGACGGGUGAGUAAUAGGUAGGAGACCUACCUCAUACAGGGGGAUAGCAUAGAGAAAUCUGUGGUAAUACCCCAUGAGGUUAUAUGAAUAGAGGCAUAUAAUCAAAGCAUAAGCGAUUAUGCGGUAUGAGAGGGGCCUACUGACCAUUAGCUAGUUGGUGAGGUAAGGGCUCACCAAGGCGAAGAUGGUUAGGGGUUUUGAGAGAGAGACCCCCCACAUUGGAACUGAGAGACGGUCCAGACUCCUACGGGAGGCAGCAGUAGGGAAUAUUGGGCAAUGGGCGAAAGCCUGACCCAGCCAUGCCGCGUGAAGGAAGACGGCCUUAUGGGUUGUAAACUUCUUUACUACGCGAAUAGAGGUUAGUACGAGAUACUAAUAGGAAGGUAGUGUAGUAAAAGCACUGGCUAACU
This 489-nucleotide ribosomal RNA is filed under the name uncultured bacterium. RNAcentral's name for it is "bacterial SSU rRNA". It matches the Rfam family "Bacterial small subunit ribosomal RNA", at positions 28 to 502 of the family's 1533-position model. The record is from RNAcentral.